This 377-nucleotide ribosomal RNA is filed under the name uncultured eukaryote. Its description in RNAcentral is "partial 18S ribosomal RNA". It matches the Rfam family "Eukaryotic small subunit ribosomal RNA", at positions 592 to 976 of the family's 1831-position model. The record is from RNAcentral.
CAAUAGCGUAUAUUUAAGUUGCUGCCGUUAAAAAGCUCGUAGUUGGAUUUCGGGUGGGAAUGGCCGGUCCGCCGUUUCGGUGUGCACUUGCUACGCCCACCUUGCUGCCGGGGACGUGCUCUUGAGUUCACGCUCGGGACACGGAGUCGGCGAGGUUACUUUGAGUAAAUUAGAGUGUUCAAAGCAGGCCUACGCUCUGAAUACAUUAGCAUGGAAUAACACGAUAGGACUCUGGCCUAUCUUGUUGGUCUGUAGGACCGGAGUAAUGAUUAAGAGGGACAGUCGGGGGCAUUCGUAUUUCAUUGUCAGAGGUGAAAUUCUUGGAUUUAUGAAAGACGAACUACUGCGGAAGCAUUUGCCAAGGAUGUUUUCAUUAA